RNAcentral lists this ribosomal RNA (253 nucleotides) under uncultured bacterium. Its description in RNAcentral is "partial 16S ribosomal RNA". It matches the Rfam family "Bacterial small subunit ribosomal RNA", at positions 524 to 776 of the family's 1533-position model. The record is from RNAcentral.
UACGAAGGGGGCUAGCGUUGCUCGGAAUGACUGGGCGUAAAGGGCGCGUAGGCGGCUUGCACAGUCAGGCGUGAAAUUCCUGGGCUCAACCUGGGGACUGCGCUUGAGACGUGUGGGCUUGAGUUCGGGAGAGGAGAGUGGAAUUCCCAGUGUAGAGGUGAAAUUCGUAGAUAUUGGGAAGAACACCGGUGGCGAAGGCGGCUCACUGGACCAUUACUGACGCUGAGGCACGAAAGCUAGGGGAGCAAACAGG